GACGAACGCUGGCGGCGUGCCUAAUACAUGCAAGUCGAGCGCGGGAAGCUUGCGGAAUCCUUCGGGAGGAAGUGAGUGGACCGAGCGGAGGACGGGUGAGUAACACUGUGCGUAACCUGCCCGAAAGACGGGGAUAACCCCGGGAAACCGGGGCUAAUACCGGAUAGGUGACCAUUCUGCAUGGAGGGGUCAUGAAAGGCGGCGGAAGCCGUCGCUUACGGAGGGGCCCGCGGCGCAUUAGCUAGUUGGUGAGGGAAGGGCUCACCAAGGCGACGAUGCGUAGCCGGCCUGAGAGGGUGAACGGCCACACUGGGACUGAGACACGGCCCAGACUCCUACGGGAGGCAGCAGUAGGGAAUCUUCCGCAAUGGACGGAAGUCUGACGGAGCAACGCCGCGUGAGUGAGGAAGGCCUUCGGGUCGUAAAGCUCUGUUGUUCGUGAAGAAGGGGUUGGCCAGGAAAUGGGCCGACAUUGACGGUAGCGAACCAGAAAGCCCCGGCUAACUACGUGCCAGCAGCCGCGGUAACACGUAGGGGGCAAGCGUUGUCCGGAAUGAUUGGGCGUAAAGGGCGCGCAGGCGGCCUCUUAAGUCUGAUAUGAAAGCCCACGGCUCAACCGUGGAGGGACAUUGGAAACUGGGGGGCUUGAGUGCAGGAGAGGGGAGUGGAAUUCCACGUGUAGCGGUGAAAUGCGUAGAGAUGUGGAGGAACACCAGUGGCGAAGGCGGCUCUCUGGCCUGUGACUGACGCUGAGGCGCGAAAGCGUGGGGAGCGAACAGGAUUAGAUACCCUGGUAGUCCACGCCG
This 806-nucleotide ribosomal RNA is filed under the name uncultured organism. RNAcentral's name for it is "SSU rRNA". It matches the Rfam family "Bacterial small subunit ribosomal RNA", at positions 28 to 802 of the family's 1533-position model. The record is from RNAcentral.